Molecule: long non-coding RNA, 10471 nt
Organism: Cydia pomonella (codling moth)
Lineage: Eukaryota; Metazoa; Arthropoda; Insecta; Lepidoptera; Tortricidae
Exons: 3
Source: RefSeq, a predicted model, not a curated record
AUAUGUCCCUUACGAAAGUUCAGUUGACUGUAAGCUACCGAACAUAUGGGAACAAAACUUACUUAUAAUAUGAGUACGUACCUACCCAACCCUAUUUAAUUUAAACAAUAUAUAAUUUUUAACGGAGUUCUGGAAUUAAAAAAGAAAACAAAAUAAAUGCUCAACGUAAGACUAAAUAAAUAAAAACUGAAACACUUAAAUGCGUCAUAAACACCGUCGCGAAAUCAACUGCAGUCAUUUCCACAUACAAAUAAAGGCAGCACACGACGCGGCGAGUGGCGAGUAACAGAGUUAUCUCGAACGGACACGAUGGCCACAAUAAUCGCGGGCUGGCAAACGGCCACAGGAUCACCAUAGCUUACCUACUCUUCGCCUAAGUCGAACCAAUGUUUUAUCUGGAGAUGCUAGCUAUUCGUAAUCAGAGAUCAAACUUAUACUAGUUGAACUGAAAACUGCGCUAUGCAUGUCUUAGAAAUAUAAGCGCAGUAACCGGCACCGCUGUCGCCAAUCUGCUAAGUGAGUUAUCUCGCACGACACAAGUUGCAGCCGAUGAUUUUUGGGAUUCGUAGUCGGCCUAUUUCGACGAAUUAGGGUCGGAACCCGUUUACUGCUAGUGACACCUGGCGUAGCUGGUCUUAAACAAGAAAUAUAAUUGUGGCGUUUAAAUUGGUAUUUAAUGAGCCACUGUAUAUGCACUAUAGAGGAAGUAUUAAAAAACUAGAGUAGCAUACCCAUCUCAGCUGAUAACAAAUAACAUGAUACUUUUAUAAUUUGCCUUAAAUAGAUAAUUUACGUAGUCGUUGAUCAUGGAAAAGGGGUAAAAUCAUCAUAACUAUUUUGGACUUAACCUUGAAGUGAUAAUAAAAAUUAGGGGUGCUUUUAUUAUGAGCAGGGCCCGUACUUUUCAUGCCGUUGACGCAUAUAUGACGUAAUUUAACAUACAGGGAGUUGUUUUACAAUACUACAAAUUUAGAUAAUUUACUUAUUGACGGGUAUCAAAAUAAAUACUUGUUACGAGAAUAAAAGCUUGUUACGCUGUUAAAAAUCAAAAAUAUGUAAUAUAUAAUAAAUUAAUAAUCUAUUAUUUAUUUGAGUGACAAUAAGAUGAAAGUCAGUUAGACGUUUCUGUACUGAUUGUCAAGUAUAUGUAUAAAUUACCUAAAGAGGUUGAUAAAUGAUUAAUUAUUAUGAAAAUACUAAUUGGAAUCAUACUCUAUAUAACGUGACGUCAUUUUUCUGUCAACGGCAUGAAAAGUACGAUCCCUGAUUAUGAGUGAAAUCUGGGCAAAAUAUUUUUCCUCACUGCGAGUUAUAAAUUCCUUUGAAAUCGUUGGAGACUUAGUAAAACGUUUUUUGUUUUUUCCUUAUAAUUUCCGGAGAUACUAAUGUGCGAUUGUGGUACCUAUAGGUAUCAUUGGAAAAAACUACUUACAUAUAAAUCAGUAAAGUCAAAGCAAAGGCGUUAGAAUGCCCAAAUGCAUCAUAUUUCAGUUCUUUAGCAUUUAUUUCAGCUAUGCCAGACAAUCUUAACUUAAUUCAUCAAGUUAGUGGCCACAAGAACACAGCGCCAUUCCAUGAAUGGUCCCCGUCGGACCGGCAGGAGGUCCGCUGCGAUUCACUUAGUAAGAUUAGUUCGGACUCCAUCGAAGGUUUACACCUCGGAACGCGUCCAACAUUACCAACACCCUAAUGCGCUUGGGAAAUCUAUAUGGUGCAAUUUACACGUUCCUUGGAACGGAGAUGGAAAGUAUUGUGAAAUGUAAGUGUAUGUAAAUGGUUCGUCAGUGAAAAACGUGUUGUUUCAUAGUGCAAUAAAAUUUAGAAGUUACAAUAAGAAUAAUACAUCAGAAUAAACGGUAAACCUACACGUUAUUGAGCUCAAUAUCCUCCUAUCGUUCGAGUAUGACCUCCCAGCAUAUUUUAGGAGACGCCAAAUUGAACUCACUUCUUUUUCCUCCUAAUGACUGAGUGUCGUGACCACAUGAAGUCGUUAUUUUGUGCACCAAGGCUCUCCAAUCUGCAGGAUUUUCCGCCUUUCUAAUAAUAAAUAGGCGCCUGUGUAGAUCCCUAGUAGGCCUUUUUUAUUUAUUUUAUUUUAUUUAAAUAUGAAACAAACGGUCAUACAAAAAAUAUUAUAACACUUUCUUCUCUUAAUCUAGAUCUAUAGUUUCCAUGUUUGUUAAACAUACUUUUUACUAUGUCCACCCAGUCCACUAUCCCGACCUCCAUCCACCAUGCCAACCACAAUGCACUUCUGAAAGUUGUCCGGCUCCCGUUUGUUAAGGAUCCGCUGGAGACAAGUGAUUGAUAAGCGGCACUGGAUUUUUAAUUCCGUCAGGAUUGACGCAAAUAUACUUGGUAUGUGUGAAUAUAAACUUAGUUCAAUUUGACGUGCAACCAUCCACACAUACGGAUACAUUGCGGAUAUAAGUAUAUCCGUUUAUUUUGGAUACGGAGCCCUAACAAGACAGGAUAUUCUCAGACGGCUCUUAGUUGUACCAACCAAUAAAAGAAUACGGCAAUCCUAAUAACCAAAAAUUUUAUUACAAACACUAAAUUCUGAAGAGAAAAUUAAUGCAUUCAAACAUAAAGAGAAAGAACGCAAACUAAUUUCCAAGCGGCGAUUAUAAAUAACCUAAGCGACCCAAAGAUAGCUCAGCACUAAUCUUGGAAGUUAAAAAUUAAAUUUAACCAAUAAAAUUCAGCGAGAGAAUCUACGGGCAAAGUUUUAGCUCCCAUCUGAGAUAAGACCGCGCGUCUAGGCUAGUUUCUAUCGAGUGUGGAUUAUUACAAUCAGGGAGUUAGUAAAGAGGGAGCUUAGUUUUGAACAUCCGUCCGACCAUCAGUUUUACAAAGGAAAAUCACUUUCAUGUUUGACUUGAGUGGUUUACAGGCGAAACAGAACUAACUACAUAUCAUUUGUUUGAAUGUUUCAUUGAAUAGUAGAAAUUGCUGACAAUAAAGAAAACGGGCCAAUUACAAACACAAACUGCAGAGUUUGAAACUUAUUGUUCUAAGUCCGUGAGGAAAUAAUAAAAGUAUCAGUGGCUCUCGACGUGGAGGUAUUGGAAUCGAAUAAUAGAACGUGAAACUUGGACUCGCACUGGAGCGCUGACUGGACUAACUCUUAUUGCAAACUCGCGCGACCCGCUACUUAAACGACAACACUCGGCUGUAAACCUGGGUACAGACUGUGUCCUUGUUCAAUAUGUCCUAUUCACAAUAUCUGGACGGCAUUGCCACUUGAAGCAUAUGAUUUGUAAUUUUUUGGCUGGCCGUAAUGUAGCCGCCGUGCAGGUCAGGAUCACGACGAAUCGAAUAAAACUUCGAUUCUUAGUGAAGUGUUAUAAUUUUCCAAACUACUGGUUUAUAAAGGUUUAAUUGCCAAAACGGUUACAUGUAGAAAGUGGUGUUGAUAGUAUGGAGGAUGAUGAAAGAGUGAUUUGCAAUAUUUGAUCUUGAAGUGCACUGUUGUGUACGUAGCUUUACAAGUUCAUAAAUACGCUUAAAGUUGCCACCGUGUUGAAUAAAAGGAAGUAAGAAUCUUUGUUGCCUAAGUAUUUUUUCCAUUCGACUAAGUGUAAGGGAAUGAUGUUACGGCUUAUAUCAAACACCGUCGUAUUUUUGGACCCUACUAUUUGUAACUAAGCGGUGAUGGCCGAAAUGAUAUGACGUCCGACUUUUAAUCCGGAGGUCGCGUGUCGAUCCUGGCUCGUACCAAUGAGUUUUUCGGAACUUAUGUACGAAAUAUCAUUUGAUAUUUACCAGUCGCUUUUCGGUGAAGGAAAACAACGUGCAGAAACCGGACUAAUCCCAACAAGGCCUAGUUUACCCUCUGGGUUGGGACGUCAGAUGGCAGACGCUUUCGUAAAAAACAAGUGCCUGCGCCAAAUCUUGGGAUUAGUUGUCAAGUGGACCCCAGGGUCCCAUGAGCCGUGGCAAAACGCCGGUACAACAGGAGGAAGAAGAAUAUAUUAUUAAAUUGUUUUAUAAGUCUUACUAAUUUAAUGUUAUAACAUUUAAUGUCCCAUAGUUUUUAUGUCGUUCUCAAUAUUAUACUUGGACAAUGCUAUGUACUCCAUAAUUGUCCUAUUAUAUCAGGUGAAGUACUUUAAGAUUAUUGUGAUGUGAUGUAACAUAUAGUAAUAUAUACGAUCUGGUUGUACUUAAUAAAUAAAAAUAAAAAGCAUGUGAAAAGAAUAAGAAUUAUUCAUUAUGGUUAUUCAUUUGUAUAUAAUUAGGUACUCAUAAUUCUCCCAAGAAAUAACGUUUACAUAACCUAGAACAUAUACUAAGUUACUCAAUAUAAGUAACCAAGUAAGCGGAAUAUUUAAUGUUAGUUUAACUUUCAUGUGGCCAGGUUAAACUCUAUAACUAUCGGUCAAGAGCGAACCGACCAUCAUCAACUGAGCCGAGCAUUAAAUAGGGUGAAAAAAUACACUUAAACAGGGUAUUAGAUGUAAUAUGAAAAAAAGAGGCAAACGAACAGACGAAUCGUCUGUUGGAAAGCGAUUACCGUCGCCAAAGGACACCUGCAACACCUGAGGGGUUGUAAGUGCGUUACCGGCCUCUAAAAUGAGAGUACAAUCUUUUCUUGAAGCUUUGAUGUAUGCAUAAAACGUUGUAUUUCUCUUAAAAAUAUAUCUAACAUAAAACUAAUUUAAAACUAAGCUUAAUCACUAAACCUAAAUGUAUCAGAACUUAAAUAUAAAUAUAAACUAAAUAUGUAUAAAAUAACUACCUACUGUCGGGCUGCCCCCGAUGCAAAGGUGCCUUUGCAUCAGGAAAAACCCGAAGCGGGGGUUAAGGCCCCUUUCUAAUUUCUAGUGUUGCUGAAAUUUCACGUGAAGCUAAAAAGAACUCAAAUUUUCUACAAAUUAUUUUUUAUACAAACUAGUCUCACGUAAUAAGCCAAUAAAGGUUUUUGAUGUUUAUUUCUCGAGGCGCGGAACCCUAAUAAUGCACUUUAGUGAAAUUUGCUAGCUUGCCGUAGCCUAUUAGCUAACCUAAUAGCUAUUAGGAGCACUUCCCAAUAAUAGUACUAAUCGACAAAGACGUACGAAAGUCGAUAUGAAGUAUGAAGGGCGUUAGAAACUUUACGCAGAUAUAGCUACAAAGUUUAAUAGGCGGACGGGAAAGAUGUCUUAUGCUUGUUAUUAGUAUUGCUUGUCUAAUAUGAUAGAAGACGAACGGAAAAAAACGAAUUAUUUUAAAUAAUAUUAUAUAAUAUAAAAUUUAUUGAUAUCAAUAUUUCAAUAUUUUUACAUAUAAGCUUGUGAUGAGCUAGUGUUUAAGCUGCAUUGCAUUAUCUACACAGCUAACAAUGAACAUACUAGUUUAACAACAACAGGUUAUACUUUAACUUUUGUUCCUAGAUAAAUGUAACACCUAAUCUUUUACCAAUAAGAAUAAUUAGUCUACAUAGUAAGCAAAUAUGUCUUCAAGUAUGAUGGCACAAUACAAUACAGGUUAGGGUUUUUACGCCGUGCGUCACCGCGCAAAUUAACGGUUUAUACAUAACAAAACCAACACAGCCGGAGCUUUAUCUCGACAUAUUAAUUUCGUAGAUAUCAGGUCAGUUAAAGGACGCGCCGCACUGACACACAUGCACAGAACAUAUCGGUCGGACUCACAUUGUCCCGGUUUCAAUAUGCAUAGCUCAAUACCGGAACCCGAUGCUAGGGGUGACGUUCUCGUAGUUAAGCGAGCGAAGGCGAGUUAUUGCCACAAAACCAGUACAAAUUGGUUAUUGCAGUUCCAACUGUGCCACAAAUUAUUUCCGAAAAUAGUUAACUAGAUUAAAAAACAUCUUAUAGACCGCGAGCCAGGAACAGAUUUCCAUGACCAAUCGCCUUCCGGGCGAAAUCUCGUAUAGUGGUUAUAGACUAUGUAUGGUGAAUCCUUGUGGACGUCAGCAGCCGCUCCAUUGGUGAGUUAAGGAAUGGCAGCCACCGUAACACGUAAAAAAAUUGUCAUCGCCUCCCGUUUGAUAGUUCAGAUGCUAUUGUUAGUUUAAAAAAAAGUCUUCGCUUUACCUUUUUAUGGUAGUAAUAGCAAAAUCAUGAAACUUUGCAUGUAGCAUUCCAUCAGGCGUUUCAAAUUAAUGAAAUAAAUCGCAUACUUUGCGGACAUAAAGUGGUAAGGCGCGUAUUUGUGUAUGUUUAGCUGACGUUCUUUCCAGCGCAAUACAACCGGCUGACUUUUUUAAAAAUUUAAAACAGCAUCUAAACUAUCAUGUGACAAAGUAUCAGCCGGGGGGCGAUGACUGACAAUAUAUGCUCCUGGCCCGCGGUCUAUUAAGAAACCAUUAAACCGACCGAACAAAACGACUUCACAACAGUUUAAAAAAAUGUUUUGAUUUGAAAAGUUCCCUCGAUUUUUCAAGGAUCCCAUUAUCAGAUUAGUACUUCGUGACAAUAGAACAAACUAUGAAAUUUUCAAACCAACAUUUUAGAAAAUUUUGGCAAAACUUUCUGUGGUAAAUCCGGAAACAUACAUUGGACUGACUGGACAACAUGGGGCGCAAGCUCGUCUGUGCUCCGUGAGCGACGAUUGUACUGGACCAGUUCAUUUGUCAACGGCCUCUGUGCUGACAGUGAUGCACCGGCGAUGGACGCUUGCUGACAGAUUAUCAAAGGUUGCGACAAUCGGCCGGGUUCCGCUUCAGGCACCUAGCAAACGUUUAUACGCUCAAAAUUCAUGAAAAAUUCUAUAUGCCUUAAUUAGACUACAUAGAUGAAUGAUUAGAUGUUUCAGGUUCCUAUUUAUAAAAACCUCUUAGAUAUUUGUAAACCGUAUUGGAAUUAGUUAAAAUUGGCAACAAUAUAAUUGUCAGUGUAAUCAUUAUUUGAAAAUGGUUGUUUCUAGGCCUACUUGAAUAAAUAAUGUUAAGUAUUUUAAAUAUUAUUAAUUUGAAGAACAAUGCAUGUUUCAGUCUCAUUUCAGAUCUCUUCGUUUUGGUUGUUAUUAGUUAUUUUUGCGUAAAAUGACGACCUGCAAGACAACAUAACAAUUAUUGCUGCUGAUUUAACAUUUUGUGUAGUUCUUCUAACAGCACUGAACACCAUUCCCGUCGUGUAAAAACUAUUAUUUUGACUACGUGGAAAAGCACCAAUAAAUGCAGAAAAUCAAACAAAAGGCCAUUUCGCAUACGAUGCUGCAAAUUAAAUCCCCAUUCGUGGAGGCCGACUUGGGAUAUGUGGAAAGAGCGCUCGGCGAUAUCAUUAUGAUGAUAAUAACAUGUUUUAUGUUUGUAGCCGAUUUCAUAUAUUUUCUAUGAAUGUGUUAGUCCAAAAAUACAAGAAAAAUAAUAUUAGUAAGCUUUUAAAAGAAAUUGUCUUGUAUUUAAUAUUAUGCAUUAAUAACCGCAACGGACAUCCAUUAAAAAUACAAUCAGUAAUCGGCGAGUUGUAUGCCACAACGCGGUAUUUCAAAUUGUAGUAGUAUGAAUAAGCCUUUAAUUUAGGCCUUUUAAACUCUUCGAAAAAAAUGAUAUAUAAGUGUAGGUAAUAUAUUUAACUACAAACGACUACAUUAAAUAUGCAGUUGUUGAGCCAUUCACGUUUCACGUUUGGUGCAAGUUUAUUCGCCCCGAGUUGCAACCAAACCAAAACGCCGCGCCGAUCACUGCACAUGAUGCAACGUGUAUUCUGCCGAAUACACGUUGCAUCAUGUGCAGGGAUUAUGCGAUAUUGCGAGUGAUAUUACGUUGGUCAUGUGCGUAUUGGAUAUAAAUUCGAAAUUUAUUUCAUGACGCGUAACUGUUUGUUAACUAUAUGAAUACCAAAAAAAUAAUAUUGAAGUGUGUUAAAAAUCAUCAUCCGCUCCUCGUAUAAGUUUGAAUCGCACGUGUUCAGUAAUCCACGGUGUCGUCCGACGCCAUUGUCGUCCGCUCGUGCCGGGCUUAAGGGCUUCGCGAGCCGACUCCACGGACAUUUCGUAAAUUAAUAACCAAUCACGCCGAUACUUCGGGAAUAUUAACGCCGGCAGCUUAUCGGGGAAUGGGAUGUACUGCGCGUUCAACACGGAGGUAGGUUAAUAUAAAAUUUUGGUACUUUCAAGAUGUAUGCAUUGAAUCUAGCAGGUCAGUUUUACCGUUAGAAUCGACGAGUAGUAACGGAUGAGGCAGAUUGUACUCGCAGAAAGCAAGAAACAGUUCAGACAAAAUAAAACCAGCAAUAUUUUAUUUGAAAAUUUGUGAUUUUUUGCCAAUUAUAAUUUACAUUUCGGAAUUUAAUGUCGCUGCGUUACUAACAUUAUAUACCUAGCAGUCAAGUUUAGCUACAGUUACCAAUCCAAUAUAUAUGGUAACGUGGUUAUCUCAUCACACCGACGCAGAGUACAGAUCUAAUGUGAAGACCGCAUAAAGCGCAGGGCAUACCUCUACUGGCUGGCACGCUAAUUUACGUUUGGGUGACCUAAAUGUGUUUUUUUUAUGAUAGAGGAGGCAAACGAGCAGACGGAUCACCUGAUUCUAAAUGUGACAAUUACAUUCUUUUGAUUUUCCUCAUGUCAACAAUUCUAUUCUUGUAAAAGUAUAACAACAUUUAAUUACGUGGUUAACUGGGAGUUUAACCUAUUUUAAUAACAUUUAGAUGACCCCGACGUGAAUCCGGUGUGUGUGUUGUACUGCAACUAGACAAGAUAUGAAUGGUCUGUGUUGCUUUUUGUUGUUCCAUCUUAACGCAAUCAAAGCUUGACUCCAGGAUAUUAAAGUUCAAAACUUAAUGCCGUAGGUGAUUAAUUUGUAGGUCAACAAGAGACAAAACUCAUUAUAACUAAGUUAACUAACUGAGGCACGUUAACUUUUAUGUAUAAGAGAACAACAAUGCGUUCCCUAAUUGUAGCUUCUGAAAUCGUCAUAUUAAGGAAUAUCGGCACGUGAACGUGACGAAUUAUAAUCUGUGCGAGCCGUAAUCCCCUUGCAGCGGCGCGCGGCAUGAAUCAAGGCUGUACCGAUGCACCGUGUUGUUUCUGCAUGCCUAGUGCCGAAUGUUUGUUAUACCUAACAACUGGAAUAUAUUGCUCGGCAUUCUGGUAUACACCAUCGUGACCUUAUUUAUUACCUUACCUACUAUAAAAAAACCGGACAAGUGCGAGUCCGACUCGCCCACCGAGGGUUCCGUGUAAGUUUAACUUUUUGUUAAUAAAAUAUAGUUUUGAGAUUUUUUCCCUGUACUUGUAGUGUAAGACGAUAUUACUUGCCAAAUUUCAUAGUUCUAAGUCAACGGGAUGUACCCUAUACAUUUUGAUUCCCUUGAGAGUGUCGAAAAAUACGUUUUUUCGCGGCAUAUCUUUUUUUCCGUUAUCAUAGAAAUUUGUUUUUUUUUUUUACAGCUUCAAAGGGACUGUAAACUUGAGUAUAAGCAUAUGAUUUCAAUUUCAACUAGAUACCUCAACGUGUUGUCGAGAUCAAGGGUAUUGACAGACAGACGGACGAACAACAAAGGGUUCCAUUUUAUCCAUUUGAGGUACGGAACCCUAAAAAGACAGAACAUUCACGAAUGCUGUCAUUAUUUAGAUUUCUCACCGCCGUUUUACAAUUACACUAUAAAUGGCCAGAUUAAGUGUUUACUUACAUUGUUUACAAUUGUUGUUUUUUUUUUUAACUUUGCCCCUGUGUAUACCUUUGCCCAAAAAGACAUUUUUUAAACAAAUGUAUUUAUAUAGCCACGUGUAAAACAGUUAUAGCAACAACCUUGCAAUAAAAAACACUGUUUAGUAGUUCAAUAUCAUAAAACAAAGGUGCCACAAUAUGGUCCAAACAAGUUAUAAAAUUCAUUUGAAUACAAUAACAAAGUUAAAGCAAAUCUGGCGGACGGCGCGCAGAAUUCGAGGUGUCGGGGCCGGCGCACUCCAUUUGAUUGGGCAUUGUUUCGGGCGGCCCGACGUUAAUACGCUGCACUGGAUGCGAUGCGAAUCCAAUUUUGGGCCACGCAACCUGAGCGACCUAUCCACUACUAACGCUCUUAUUCUCUUACCUGCCACUAUGAUUGCUUUAAAAAUGAACUUUAUAUAGCAAACGACACGGCCCCUAUUACAGUCAUACGUGAGUAUCCGUUACGAGGUUUACAGAGCGAGUAUUAGAUAUCCUCUGCCUGAUAUGUAUUAGUAUUCAGAGCGAGAGCGGCUGUACGUGCUCGCGGGGAACGUGAUGCGAGCAAACAAAACACGGGCGUACUUGAAAUAGACCUGAUUCUGAGAUUCCUCAGGCUUUUGUCGUACCCAUUCAUUCUCAGAGAAAAACCGGACGGUGGCCUGGAUUUCGAAACGAUAAUGGACUAAAGGUUACCUACCUUUUAAAACAUUCCAUGAACUUUUUCUUAGCUUUCACUAUAAGCAUUGUAUGCAAUUAACAACGAUUGGUGCACAUUUCAUGUCAUGUCAAAUUAUGCGAGUAACAGGAACAUUUCCGCAGGGAAUAUUGUCGGCAUCACGGCUAGUCGAUUUCAGGUCACUUUUGACACUCUAU